RNAcentral lists this unclassified non-coding RNA (385 nucleotides) under fungal sp. RNAcentral's name for it is "partial internal transcribed spacer region". The stretch from base 1 to 46 matches the Rfam family "Eukaryotic small subunit ribosomal RNA", at positions 1786 to 1831 of the family's 1831-position model. Lineage: Eukaryota; Fungi. The record is from RNAcentral.
AAGUCGUAACAAGGUUUCCGUAGGUGAACCUGCGGAAGGAUCAUUAACACGUAUCCACGUAUCAACCAAUGAGAACCUGUUUUCCCGUCUCCCUGUGCAAAGAAUGAAUUGGAACCAGUUUGAGGGAGUGAUGGGACCGAAAGGUCGGCCUUCCUGGUAUACUUAUGUAAAUAGAAAUGUUUGCAUAGACAAUUGUAUUUUUGUUACAGGCUAUUUCUUAUCGCUUUGAUCCCCAUCAUGAUCGUGGCGGUAGGGAAACUUCACCUUAUUUACCUUUUUUGCUAGUUGACUUUUUAUAUGUGUUGUCUUGCGAAAGCAUGGUGGCACACGUUUAUUAAUUGAACGUUAAAAAAUACAACUCUUAGCAAUGGAUAUCUUGGUUCUC